RNAcentral lists this ribosomal RNA (497 nucleotides) under uncultured bacterium. RNAcentral describes it as "partial 16S ribosomal RNA". It matches the Rfam family "Bacterial small subunit ribosomal RNA", at positions 28 to 507 of the family's 1533-position model. The record is from RNAcentral.
GAUGAACGCUGGCGGCGUGCCUAAUACAUGCAAGUCGAGCGAACAGAUGAGGAGCUUGCUCCUCUGACGUUAGCGGCGGACGGGUGAGUAACACGUGGAUAACCUACCUAUAAGACUGGGAUAACUUCGGGAAACCGGAGCUAAUACCGGAUAAUAUAUUGAACCGCAUGGUUCAAUAGUGAAAGACGGUUUUGCUGUCACUUAUAGAUGGAUCCGCGCCGCAUUAGCUAGUUGGUAAGGUAACGGCUUACCAAGGCAACGAUGCGUAGCCGACCUGAGAGGGUGAUUGGCCACACUGGAACUGAGACACGGUCCAGACUCCUACGGGAGGCAGCAGUAGGGAAUCUUCCGCAAUGGGCGAAAGCCUGACGGAGCAACGCCGCGUGAGUGAUGAAGGUCUUCGGAUCGUAAAACUCUGUUAUUAGGGAAGAACAAAUGUGUAAGUAACUAUGCACGUCUUGACGGUACCUAAUCAGAAAGCCACGGCUAACUACGUG